This 4884-nucleotide small RNA is filed under the name Histoplasma capsulatum var. duboisii H88. Its description in RNAcentral is "Histoplasma capsulatum H88 hypothetical RNA". The record is from RNAcentral. Lineage: Eukaryota; Fungi; Ascomycota; Eurotiomycetes; Onygenales; Ajellomycetaceae.
AAGUGUCAAAGGCAACUGUCUACCCACAUGCCCUUCAUGAGUUUAGUCUUCUGUUGUUGUCCUGCUUCUUCUGUAUUCUGAGCCUGUAUUUCUUUCUGGAGCCAGCCACGGAGACUUUCUGCAGGUCGAGGAUUUAUGCUGUUGCUGCUUUGUUUGUGCCCAUACAUCCACUCUUUCAGGAGACGUUAGGAUCCAUAGAGCCUGUCCGACCUGGCCCGAAUAACCAAACACGCGCCCGACGCAACCCAAGAAUAUGGGACAAUCACGACGCCCUCGAGACCCGGAGAAGAAGAGCCGCGGGUUCGGACGGUCGAGGCAUGGUGAGGGCGGGGCAGGGGGAAAACCUCAGGUUAAAAAGGCCGUAUUCGAAAGCACAAAAAAGAAGGAGGUUGGAGUGUCAGAUCUCACGCUCCUCAGCAAAGUAUCGAAUGAGGCCAUAAAUGAGAACUUGAAAAAGAGAUUUGAACAUGGCGAAAUUUACACAUACAUCGGUCAUGUCCUUGUCUCUGUGAACCCAUUUAGAGACCUGGGUAUCUAUACCGACAAGGUCCUUGAUUCCUACCGCGGCAAAAACCGACUUGAAGUUCCCCCACAUGUUUUCGCUGUCGCUGAAGCAGGAUAUUAUAACAUGAAAGCAUACAAGGAAAAUCAAUGUGUCAUUAUCUCGGGCGAAUCCGGUGCUGGAAAAACCGAAGCUGCAAAGCGCCUGAUGCAGUAUAUUGCGAAUGUGUCAGGUGGCAGCGAUUCUUCCAUCCAGCAUACCAAAGACAUGGUUCUGGCGACUAACCCUCUUCUCGAGUCCUUCGGUAAUGCGAAGACCUUGCGGAAUAAUAACUCGUCGCGGUUCGGAAAAUAUCUAGAAUUACAAUUCAAUUCUGUUGGUGAGCCUGUCGGCGCCACGAUUACAAAUUAUCUCCUGGAGAAAUCUAGAGUCGUUGGGCAAAUCACGAAUGAACGAAACUUCCAUAUAUUUUAUCAAUUCACUAAAGCUUCACCGCAGACCUAUAGAGAUAACUUUGGCAUCCAACAACCGCAGUCUUAUGUGUAUACAAGCCGCUCCAAAUGUUUUGAUGUCCCAGGCAUAGAUGAUACUACUGAUUUCAAAGAUACAUUAAAAGCCAUGAACAUCAUUGGUUUAUCCCAAGCCGAACAAGAUAAUAUCUUCCGCAUUCUGUCAGCUAUUUUAUGGCUCGGAAAUAUGCAAUUUAUCGAAGAUGACAGUUCCAACGUUUCAAUAACGGAUCAAUCGGUGGUGGAUUUCGUCGCCUACUUAUUAGAAGUUGAUGCCGCUGCCGUGAACAAGGCCCUUACGUUGAGAAUUAUGGAAACUGCCCGAGGCGGGCGCAGGGGUUCCGUGUAUGAGGUUCCUUUGAACGUUGUCCAAGCCACUGCUGUUCGAGACGCACUCGCAAAAGCCCUUUAUUUUAACAUGUUUGAUUGGAUUGUUCAGCGAGUUAAUGCCUCACUUGCAGCUAGGGGCUCUGUGGAAAACUCCAUCGGUAUCCUGGAUAUUUAUGGGUUCGAGAUUUUUGAGAAAAACUCUUUCGAACAACUCUGUAUCAACUACGUCAACGAAAAGCUACAGCAAAUCUUCAUCCAGCUUACCUUAAAGACGGAACAAGAGGAAUACGCUCGCGAGCAAAUCAAGUGGACUCCCAUUACAUACUUUGAUAACAAAGUUGUGUGUUCCUUGAUUGAAGAUAAACGACCACCUGGGAUUUUCGCCGCAUUGAAUGACGCUUGUGCAACUGCACAUGCUGACUCCGGCGCGGCUGAUCAGACGUUUGUAGGAAGGCUGAAUUUCCUUAGUCAAAAUCCAAACUUCGAGUCCAGGCAGGGCCAAUUUAUUGUAAAGCAUUAUGCUGGCGACGUUGGCUACACUGUGGACGGAAUGACGGACAAAAAUAAGGAUCAACUAUUGAAAGACUUGCUUAAUCUAGUGGGCUCGAGUAGUAACCGCUUCAUGCAUACACUCUUCCCCAACCAGGUUAAUCAGGACGACAAGCGUCGGCCGCCAACUGCCGGCGACAAGAUUAAAGCAUCUGCAAACGACCUCGUUGCGACUUUAAUGAAGGCACAACCGUCAUACAUCAGAACUAUAAAACCGAACGACAACAAGUCACCAUCCGAGUACAAUGUUGGCAAUGUGAUGCAUCAAAUCAAAUAUCUUGGUCUACAGGAGAACGUCCGAAUUCGCAGAGCGGGGUUCGCCUACCGCCAAACUUUUGACAAGUUUGUCGAGCGCUUCUACCUGUUGUCACCGAAGACUUCAUAUGCUGGAGAUUACACCUGGACUGGGGACGCUGAAUCGGGGGCGAGGCAGAUCCUGAAAGACACUAGCAUCCCCGCAGACGAAUAUCAGAUGGGUACUACAAAAGCUUUCAUAAAAACCCCUGAGACCCUGUUCGCACUUGAACACAUGCGGGAUAGAUACUGGCAUAACAUGGCCAUCCGUAUUCAGCGAGCUUGGCGAAAUUACCUCCGAUACCGAAUUGAAUGUGCUAUCCGAAUCCAAAGGUUCUGGAGACGGGUCACGGGAGGGCUGGAAUAUAUCAAACUCCGAGACCAGGGCCACAGAAUUCUUGGUGGAAUGAAGGAAAGACGAAGAUACAGUCUUGUUGGCUCGCGAAGAUUCCUUGGUGAUUAUCUUGGAGUUGGAAACAAUGGAGGCCCUGGAGAAAUGAUCAGGGAUUCCAUUCGCAUUAGCAAAUCCGAAACUAUUUUAUUCUCCUGCCGCUGUGAGCUCCUUGUCACCAAAUUCGGUCGUUCAAGUAAACCUUCUCCACGAAUUUUAAUUCUAACAUCAAACAAUGUUUACAUUGUCGUCCAAAGCGUCGUAAAUAAUCAAUUGAAUAUUUCCGCGGAAAGAACAAUAUCCAUCGGUGCAAUCAAGUUCGUCAGCGCGUCCAAAUUGAAAGAUGACUGGUUUGCUCUUGGAGUUGGUUCUCCCCAGGAGCCCGAUCCCCUUAUCAGCUGUGUAUUUAAGACAGAAUUUUUUGCAUACCUCUCCAAUGCGCUGCGCGGCCAACUCAACCUCAAGGUCGCCGACACUAUCGAAUAUAAUAAGAAGCCAGGCAAGUUGGCAGUAAUAAAGACAAUGAAAGAUCCAGCAAUUGCUCGUGAUGAUCUGUAUAAAAGUGGGACAAUCCACACCAGUCAAGGAGAACCACCAAAUUCUGUAUCAAAACCAACUCCAAGACCGAAGCAAGUUGCUGGCAAGCCCAUAACCAAAGGCAAAUUGCUCCGACCCGGUGGACCUGGAGGAGCGCCGUCAAAACUGGCGUCGCGACCAGCUGCUUCAAAGCCAACACCCACACCUCAACCUCUACCGAAUGCUAUCCCCAAAGCCACAGGUAUGAGUUCUCGACCCGCACCGGAGGCUGCAAUGCCCGUUGGUGCCAACUCCUCCAGCCAUACCAGAAAUACCUCAGGACAAGCUCGAGCACCUCCUCCACCACCUCCUCCGGCCGCACCGCCAGCAGCCAAAAAAGAUACCGCCAAGGUUUUGUAUGACUUCAACAGUGAGCGCUCUAACGAGCUUUCUGUCCGCAAAGGCGAAAUUGUCCAAAUAAUGGCAAAAGAAGGAAAUGCUGGUGGCUUUGCAUGAACACCACAACCUCCGCACAAGGCUGGGCUCCCGAGGCCUACCUAGAAGAGAUUGUAGUCCCGAUCCUCGCUGCGGCCGCUCCCCCGCCACCUCCACCACCUCCUGCAGCGCCUAGAGCAGUCACGCUUUCCAACGUGAACCCCGUAAACGCCGUCGUAACCAACGGCGCUUCUCGCGCUGCCGCGAAAGCCAAACCUACCCCACCAGCUCCACCGGCCAAACGGCCAAUCGCCAGUCGCAAGCCGGCGCCAUCCCCCGCCCCGCGAGACAGUGCGGUAAGCAUGAACUCGCACGACUCGUCGGGCGGGAGUGGCCGUGCCACGCCAAAUAGUAUGAAUAGUGCUAGCUUCGCGGGCGGGCUCGCGGAGGCGUUGAGGCAGAGGCAGAGUGCGAUGAAGCCGCAGGACGGUGACGAUUGGUAGAUGCCUGGAUGAGUGAGUGUGGCUGGCGCAUUAUUUUAUACGUACAUUUCCGAUAGAUAGUUAUGUUGCAUGAUUUUCUUUUUCGUCGUAUUUAUUUUCUGCUCUACUUUGGGUUUUUCUUGCCGCCAUCGCAUUUGUUUCUUUUAUUGUUUUCCUUUUUUCUUUUUAGUUUUUAUUUUUCUUCUAAACUCCGCCCCUUGCCUUCGCUCCUCUUCAAUUAUAUUAUAACAUUAUCCUGGAUCCCCGAUUUGUACGUCUCCCCCUUUACGCCUUUUCAGACGAUUAAGAUUUUUACGCAGAAAGACGUAGCGAGUUUCACAUUGCAGUUAGAUCCAGACGCUGAAAAUUGAAAAAGUAAUGGUGAUGCCCGUCCGUAUUAGCACAUUCGUUGAUUCUUACUUUUAUUUUAUGCCAUGAAAAUUCCCUCUUUUUGUUAUCAUGAGAGGAUAGGCAUGAAGCACCCAAGGAAUUAUACUUCGUUUACAUUUUCUCUCAUUGCUUUUUACAUCUCCAAACCGUGAAAUAUCCAAAAAGUAGUCAAUUCCUACAUGAGAUGUAGUAUCUAUAUCUGAUGCUGCAUUGAACUAUACGCAUGUUUUUGAGAGCUUAUUGCCAUUGUGAUAAACAUGUUGGCAGCACGGAGGCACAUAUAAUUACUUCUUCACCUCCGCAAACGCCUCCUUCAUCGCAACAAUAGCUUUAUCAAUAUCAUCUCGUCCGGGAUCCAUCACGCUAACCCCCAUAUGCCCAAAGCGGAUGUAUUUGCUUGCCAUAUCCUUAUGUAAGCCCCCGGCAAACACAACGCCCUUCUUGGCGAGCACCGGCAGGAUAUCCGGCGGCGUCAUGCCCUCUGGU